AUACAGAUGGUGCGAGCGUUAAUCGGAAUUACUGGGCGUAAAGCGCGCGUAGGCGGCUUAUUAAGUCAGAUGUGAAAUCCCCGGGCUCAACCUGGGAGCUGCAUCUGAUACUGGUAAGCUAGAGUUUUGGAGAGGGAAGUAGAAUUUCAGGUGUAGCGGUGAAAUGCAUAGAGAUCUGAAGGAAUACCAGUGGCGAAGGCGACUUCCUGGCCAAAAACUGACGCUGAGGUGCGAAAGCGUGGGUAGCAAACGGGAUUAGAAACCCUAGUAGUCC
RNAcentral lists this ribosomal RNA (274 nucleotides) under uncultured bacterium. RNAcentral describes it as "partial 16S ribosomal RNA". It matches the Rfam family "Bacterial small subunit ribosomal RNA", at positions 523 to 796 of the family's 1533-position model. The record is from RNAcentral.